RNAcentral lists this unclassified non-coding RNA (433 nucleotides) under soil metagenome. RNAcentral's name for it is "partial contains 5.8S ribosomal RNA, internal transcribed spacer 2, and large subunit ribosomal RNA". The stretch from base 1 to 120 matches the Rfam family "5.8S ribosomal RNA", at positions 35 to 154 of the family's 154-position model. The record is from RNAcentral.
GAUGAAGAACGUAGCGAAAUGCGAUACGUAAUGUGAAUUGCAGAAUUCGGUGAAUCAUCGAAUCUUUGAACGCAUAUUGCGCUCUCUGGUAUUCCGGAGAGCAUGCUUGUUUGAGUAUCAGUAAACACCUCAACUUCCAUAUCUUUUUUGAAAUGGGAGUUGGACUUGAGUGAUCCCAACGCUUUUCCUCACCGAAAAGUGGCGGGUUACUUGAAAUGCAGGUGCAGCUGGACUUUUCUCUGAGCUAUAAGCAUAUCUAUUUAGUCUGCCUAAAAAACAGAUUAUUACCUUUGCUGCAGCUAACAUAAAGGAGAUUAGUUCUUGUGCUGACUGAUGCAGGAUUCACAAAGACAGGCUUCGGCCGACUUUGUAAACUCGAUCUCAAAUCAAGUAAGACUACCCGCUGAACUUAAGCAUAUCAAUAAGCGGAGGA